Molecule: ribosomal RNA, 952 nt
Filed under: Curtobacterium luteum
Lineage: Bacteria; Bacillati; Actinomycetota; Actinomycetes; Micrococcales; Microbacteriaceae
Description: bacterial SSU rRNA
Rfam family: Bacterial small subunit ribosomal RNA
Source: RNAcentral
AGCGUUGGAAACGACGUCUAAUACUGGAUAUGACUACUGGUCGCAUGGCCUGGUGGUGGAAAGAUUUUUUGGUUGGGGAUGGACUCGCGGCCUAUCAGCUUGUUGGUGAGGUAAUGGCUCACCAAGGCGACGACGGGUAGCCGGCCUGAGAGGGUGACCGGCCACACUGGGACUGAGACACGGCCCAGACUCCUACGGGAGGCAGCAGUGGGGAAUAUUGCACAAUGGGCGAAAGCCUGAUGCAGCAACGCCGCGUGAGGGAUGACGGCCUUCGGGUUGUAAACCUCUUUUAGUAGGGAAGAAGCGCAAGUGACGGUACCUGCAGAAAAAGCACCGGCUAACUACGUGCCAGCAGCCGCGGUAAUACGUAGGGUGCAAGCGUUGUCCGGAAUUAUUGGGCGUAAAGAGCUCGUAGGCGGUUUGUCGCGUCUGCUGUGAAAUCCCGAGGCUCAACCUCGGGCUUGCAGUGGGUACGGGCAGACUAGAGUGCGGUAGGGGAGAUUGGAAUUCCUGGUGUAGCGGUGGAAUGCGCAGAUAUCAGGAGGAACACCGAUGGCGAACGCAGAUCUCUGGGCCGUAACUGACGCUGAGGAGCGAAAGCGUGGGGAGCGAACAGGAUUAGAUACCCUGGUAGUCCACGCCGUAAACGUUGGGCGCUAGAUGUAGGGACCUUUCCACGGUUUCUGUGUCGUAGCUAACGCCUUAAGCGCCCCGCCUGGGGAGUACGGCCGCAAGGCUAAAACUCAAAGGAAUUGACGGGGGCCCGCCCAAGCGGCGGAGCAUGCGGAUUAAUUUGAUGCAACGCGAAGAACCUUACCAAGGCUUGACAUACACCGGAAACGGCCAGAGAUGGUUGCCCCCUUGUGGUCGGUGUACAGGUGGUGCAUGGUUGUCGUCAGCUCGUGUCGUGAGAUGUUGGGUUAAGUCCCGCAACGAGCGCAACCCUCGUUCU